Molecule: ribosomal RNA, 468 nt
Filed under: uncultured bacterium
Lineage: Bacteria
Description: partial 16S ribosomal RNA
Rfam family: Bacterial small subunit ribosomal RNA
Source: RNAcentral
GACGAACGCUGGCGGCGUGCUUAACACAUGCAAGUCGAACGGAAAGGCCCUGCUUUUGUGGGGUGCUCGAGUGGCGAACGGGUGAGUAACACGUGAGUAACCUGCCCUUGACUUUGGGAUAACUUCAGGAAACUGGGGCUAAUACCGGAUAGGAGCUCCUGCUGCAUGGUGGGGGUUGGAAAGUUUCGGCGGUUGGGGAUGGACUCGCGGCUUAUCAGCUUGUUGGUGGGGUAGUGGCUUACCAAGGCUUUGACGGGUAGCCGGCCUGAGAGGGUGACCGGCCACAUUGGGACUGAGAUACGGCGCAGACUCCUACGGGACGCAGCAGUGGGGAAUAUUGCACAAUGGGCGGAAGCCUGAUGCAGCCACGCCGCGUGCGGGAUGACGGCCUUCGGGUUGUAAACCGCUUUCGCCUGUGACGAAGCGUGAGUGACGGUAAUGGGUAAAGAAGCAACGGCUAACUACGUG